This 497-nucleotide ribosomal RNA is filed under the name uncultured bacterium. RNAcentral's name for it is "partial 16S ribosomal RNA". It matches the Rfam family "Bacterial small subunit ribosomal RNA", at positions 28 to 507 of the family's 1533-position model. The record is from RNAcentral.
GAUGAACGCUGGCGGCGUGCCUAAUACAUGCAAGUCGAGCGAACAGACGAGGAGCUUGCUCCUCUGACGUUAGCGGCGGACGGGUGAGUAACACGUGGAUAACCUACCUAUAAGACUGGGAUAACUUCGGGAAACCGGAGCUAAUACCGGAUAAUAUAUUGAACCGCAUGGUUCAAUAGUGAAAGACGGUUUUGCUGUCGCUUAUAGAUGGAUCCGCGCCGCAUUAGCUAGUUGGUAAGGUAACGGCUUACCAAGGCAACGAUGCGUAGCCGACCUGAGAGGGUGAUCGGCCACACUGGAACUGAGACCCGGUCCAGACCCCUACGGGAGGCAGCAGUAGGGAAUCUUCCGCAAUGGGCGAAAGCCUGACGGAGCAACGCCGCGUGAGUGAUGAAGGUCUUCGGAUCGUAAAACUCUGUUAUUAGGGAAGAACAAAUGUGUAAGUAACUAUGCACGUCUUGACGGUACCUAAUCAGAAAGCCACGGCUAACUACGUG